RNAcentral lists this ribosomal RNA (434 nucleotides) under uncultured Lachnospiraceae bacterium. RNAcentral's name for it is "partial 16S ribosomal RNA". It matches the Rfam family "Bacterial small subunit ribosomal RNA", at positions 341 to 792 of the family's 1533-position model. The record is from RNAcentral. Lineage: Bacteria; Bacillati; Bacillota; Clostridia; Lachnospirales; Lachnospiraceae.
ACGGAAGGCAGCAGUGGGGAAUAUUGGACAAUGGGGGAAACCCUGAUCCAGCGACGCCGCGUGAGUGAAGAAGUAUUUCGGUAUGUAAAGCUCUAUCAGCAGGGAAGAUAAUGACGGUACCUGACUAAGAAGCACCGGCUAAAUACGUGCCAGCAGCCGCGGUAAUACGUAUGGUGCAAGCGUUAUCCGGAUUUACUGGGUGUAAAGGGAGCGUAGGCGGUACGGCAAGUCUGAAGUGAAAUCCCAGGGCUCAACCUUGGAACUGCUUUGGAAACUGUCGAACUAGAGUGUCGGAGAGGUAAGUGGAAUUUCUAGUGUAGCGGUGAAAUGCGUAGAUAUUAGGAGGAACACCAGUGGCGAAGGCGGCUUACUGGACGAUUACUGACGCUGAGGCUCGAAAGCGUGGGGAGCAAACAGGAUUAGAUACCCUGGUA